This 301-nucleotide ribosomal RNA is filed under the name uncultured bacterium. Its description in RNAcentral is "partial 16S ribosomal RNA". It matches the Rfam family "Bacterial small subunit ribosomal RNA", at positions 509 to 808 of the family's 1533-position model. The record is from RNAcentral.
CAGUAGCCACGGUAAAACGUAGGGUGCAAGCGUUAAUCGGAAUUACUGGGCGUAAAGCGUGCGCAGGCGGUUUGUUAAGACAGAUGUGAAAUCCCCGGGCUCAACCUGGGAACUGCAUUUGUGACUGGCAAGCUAGAGUCUGGCAGAGGGGGGUGGAAUUCCGCGUGUAGCAGUGAAAUGCGUAGAUAUGCGGAGGAACACCGAUGGCGAAGGCAGCCCCCUGGGCCAACACUGACGCUCAUGCACGAAAGCGUGGGGAGCAAACAGGAUUAGAUACCCCCGUAGUCCCUGUCUCUUAACA